RNAcentral lists this long non-coding RNA (1184 nucleotides) under Brassica napus (rape). RNAcentral describes it as "long non-coding RNA (BNAP_LNC008885)". Lineage: Eukaryota; Viridiplantae; Streptophyta; Magnoliopsida; Brassicales; Brassicaceae. The record is from RNAcentral.
UAGUUGCAACUUGCAAAAGUAGAUGUGUACACAAAGAAGAAAAUAUAGAUUAUAUAUUAUAUUCUGCUUCUUACAUAUUUCACAUGAUAGAACAAGCGGCGUGGACGUUGUCGUCGCUGAAGAGGGAAACGUAGUUUUCACCAGGUGCGUUUGCGGCUGGAAACGCUUGUGUAGGGUUGCGGAUGUGGCCUGCAGGCGCACGUUUGUCGUACAUGCCAGGUGCGAAAGGGUAAUAGACCAUAUGCUGAGGUAUGUAAGGCCAAAACUCUGCCUUCUUCCCUGUGCUCUUCACUCUCUUCAACACCUUGUUUGGGUCCACGUGACCGUUCACCGUUAGCCGGCUCUGUUUCCGGUUCACCUCCACCGUUUUCACGCCUAUACCAGUCGGUUCAAAACAUGAAAAAUAAGUAACCAAUUGUCUAACCUCUUAAACGAUGUGAAUUGUUCCAUUAUGCUACCAAUAUUCACCUCUUAAGAUUCCAUUUAGCCUUAUGGUUAUUGUUUUGACUUCAUGGAAGAUCACUCCACCAAAACAAACAAAAAUAUAUUCUCUUUGAGUAAAGCAUAAAGAUAUUUUGCAGACGUGAAAAGUAUUAUUAAGCUUCUGGUUUAGAGCUAGGUCAUCCAUAAUAGAUAUAUCAUAAUACCACUUUGCCACAUUUGGUUUACCAUGUUCUAACGUUCUAAACAUACAAAAGUGAACAUAGACCAUCUUAGUCCAUAUGUGAAAAUAUUGUCUCUAUAAUUUAUUACAUAGUUUAUACAUGACCUUUUCUGUAUUAUGAGAAUAGUUGCAACUUGCAAAAGUAGAUGUGUACACAAAGAAGAAAAUAUAGAUUAUAUAUUAUAUUCUGCUUCUUACAUAUUUCACAUGAUAGAACAAGCGGCGUGGACGUUGUCGUCGCUGAAGAGGGAAACGUAGUUUUCACCAGGUGCGUUUGCGGCUGGAAACGCUUGUGUAGGGUUGCGGAUGUGGCCUGCAGGCGCACGUUUGUCGUACAUGCCAGGCGCGAAAGGGUAAUAGACCAUAUGCUGAGGUAUGUAAGGCCAAAACUCUGCCUUCUUCCCUGUGCUCUUCACUCUCUUCAACACCUUGUUUGGGUCCACGUGACCGUUCACCGUUAGCCGGCUCUGUUUCCGGUUCACCUCCACCGUUUUCACGCCUAUACCAGUCGGUUCAAAAC